ACCGUGCAAAGGUAGCAUAAUCACUUGCCUAUUAAUUGUAGGCUAGAAUGAAUGGAUAAACGAAGUAAUAGCUGUCUCUAAUAAAUUAAUAAAAACUAAUAUCUCAGUGAAGAAGCUAAGAUUACAUUAUAGGACAAGAAGACCCUAUAGAGCUUUAUUUUAAAUAUAUAAUAAUAAUAUACAAAAAUUUAGUUGGGGCGACUAAGGAAAAAUCAUCCUAAAUAAGCAAGAUUUACAAAUCAAACAAAAGAUCCUAAUAUUAGAUCAUAGAACUUAGCUACCUUAGGGAUAACAGGCUAAUUUUUCUAGAGAGUUCAAAUUGAUAGAAAAGAUU
RNAcentral lists this ribosomal RNA (334 nucleotides) under Rhyacodrilus sp. RhyB_Hap2. RNAcentral's name for it is "partial 16S ribosomal RNA". It matches the Rfam family "Bacterial large subunit ribosomal RNA", at positions 1945 to 2519 of the family's 2925-position model. Lineage: Eukaryota; Metazoa; Annelida; Clitellata; Tubificida; Naididae. The record is from RNAcentral.